UUGGUGUCCGGACAUGGCCUUGGCACUGUAGCAUGUGGACAGCCAGUGCCACGGAUUUCAGAACCCGCAUUGCCAGUUGACUGCCUGCUUUGUGCUACGUGCAGGCCUGCCGCGCCCUGAUGAUUGCUGCCUCGGUCCUGGGUCUGCCGGCCAUUUUACUGCUGCUGACUGUUCUUCCCUGCAUCCGGAUGGGCCAGGAGCCCGGUGUGGCUAAGUACAGGCGGGCCCAGCUGGCUGGUGUUUUGCUCAUUCUGCUGGUGAGAAAAGCUAGAAUGUGGAGUCCUGUCAUCAGAUGAUGUGACUACAUGGAAUGAGGACUAUAGCUGCUCUCUUAAAAACCUGCAGCCCCCUCUCUCAGCCCAGACAGUUGAGCUGCUUCAGUUGUCAGGAUGUUUACAUGGAAGAAGCACUGGACCAGUUAUGCUGGGCUCCUGUUUCUACUCCAUCCCUGUAGAUUCAGCAUCCUUGUUUCUAAAAUAAAAGUAUUACACCAAAGACUCUCUUAAGGAUCUCCUAACUCUGACCCUCUAGGAUUCCAUCUGUUAUAUUGAACUUUGUAAUUUUUUUUGCC
This 571-nucleotide small RNA is filed under the name Pan troglodytes (chimpanzee). RNAcentral describes it as "processed transcript". The record is from RNAcentral. Lineage: Eukaryota; Metazoa; Chordata; Mammalia; Primates; Hominidae.